GGGUGCGGUCAUACCAGCACUAAUGCACCGGAUCCCAUCAGAACUCCGUAGUUAAGCGUGCUUGGGUGAGAGUAGUACUUGGAUGGGUAACCUCCUGGGAAGUCCUCGUGUUGCACCCCUC
This 121-nucleotide ribosomal RNA is filed under the name Gossypium barbadense (sea-island cotton). Lineage: Eukaryota; Viridiplantae; Streptophyta; Magnoliopsida; Malvales; Malvaceae. The record is from RNAcentral.